Theobroma cacao (cacao) is the source of this 182-nucleotide non-coding RNA. Lineage: Eukaryota; Viridiplantae; Streptophyta; Magnoliopsida; Malvales; Malvaceae. The record is from RefSeq and is a predicted model, not a curated record.
AGAAAAAGUGUGGGAUUUCAAGAGAUUAAGCUAAUAAAGGUGGUGAGCCCUCUAACAAUGGUAAAGAGAUUAUGCCCGAAGACCGAGAAUAGGAGUAUAUCGAACUCCUAGUACUGCUCAGAAUAGAUUAUAGAUAACUGAUAACGUCAAGGACUACAGUUGGACUUGCCACAUCCAAAAAC